RNAcentral lists this transfer RNA (71 nucleotides) under Loxodonta africana (African savanna elephant). It matches the Rfam family "tRNA". From Rfam's summary of the family: Transfer RNA (tRNA) molecules are approximately 80 nucleotides in length. The record is from Rfam by way of RNAcentral. Lineage: Eukaryota; Metazoa; Chordata; Mammalia; Proboscidea; Elephantidae.
ACUUUGGUGGUUCAGUGGUAGAAUUCUUGCCUUCUGUGUGGGAGACCCAGGUUUGAAUCCCAGCCGAUGCA